UAGUCCACCACACUUCCUCGU
RNAcentral lists this non-coding RNA (21 nucleotides) under Caenorhabditis elegans. The record is from RNAcentral. Lineage: Eukaryota; Metazoa; Nematoda; Chromadorea; Rhabditida; Rhabditidae.